UACAGAGGGGGCAAGCGUUGUUCGGAAUUACUGGGCGUAAAGGGCGCGUAGGCGGCCUGCUAAGUCGAACGUGAAAUCCCUGGGCUCAACCCAGGAACUGCGUCCGAUACUGGUUGGCUUGAAUCCGGGAGAGGGAUGUGGAAUUCCAGGUGUAGCGGUGAAAUGCGUAGAUAUCUGGAGGAACACCGGUGGCGAAGGCGGCAACCUGGACCGGUAUUGACGCUGAGGCGCGAAAGCCAGGGGAGCAAACGGG
RNAcentral lists this ribosomal RNA (253 nucleotides) under uncultured bacterium. RNAcentral describes it as "partial 16S ribosomal RNA". It matches the Rfam family "Bacterial small subunit ribosomal RNA", at positions 524 to 776 of the family's 1533-position model. The record is from RNAcentral.